CUCCAGUGCUACAUUUGCCACUUAAAAAUAUUUUUCUUUCUUAGUCAUGGAAGAGAAUCUUCUCGUUUAUUGACAAAAUUACCACCAUUCAAUUGGUUUCAGAUUCUUGAGCUGCAGAGCAACAUUC
This is a small nucleolar RNA of Meriones unguiculatus (Mongolian gerbil), 127 nucleotides long. Lineage: Eukaryota; Metazoa; Chordata; Mammalia; Rodentia; Muridae. The record is from Ensembl.